This 1429-nucleotide long non-coding RNA is filed under the name Monodelphis domestica (gray short-tailed opossum). Its description in RNAcentral is "lncRNA (ENSMODG00000050580.1)". Lineage: Eukaryota; Metazoa; Chordata; Mammalia; Didelphimorphia; Didelphidae. The record is from RNAcentral.
GUCGGCGGCUCCCGCGCGGCCCGCCCACACCUAGGGGUCCGGCCGCCACGCCGGGCUAAGCAGGGCCGGGUCUGGGGCCCCGGGCGGGGAGAGCCCGCGGAACAGGGAAGGAGGGAAGACAGGAGGAAGAGCAGGCGGAGGGGGCAGCCUGCCUCCGCAACGCCUCACACACUUACAGACCCCAGCGCCGCCGCCUCCCACCGCCGGCCGGAAGUGUCCAGCCGUCCCCACGCCGGCGUCAUGUCAUCACAUCCGCCGCGUCGCCGGGGCAACGGGGGCCAACCACUAACUGCAAGAGGGAGAGGCGAGGAGAGCGCCUCCGCGGAUGGGAGGGCGGGGCCGGGGGCGGGGUGGGGCGCCCCCGCGCCCCCUAACCCCACCCCUCGGAAAAAUACAAGAUUGCCCUGCAUGCAGUCCUUUACCUUUUAGAUCUGAUAUGUGGGAGAUUGUCUUGACCUUGAGAGAGAACAAACAUUAGACAGCAAAUAAUGGAAAGGUGUGGAGUUUCUAUCCCUGAUGACAUUCAAGAAGAGACCAGACUCUGUCACCAGGACUUCAGUGAGAGCUGAGCCGACAGAUCUCCUGAGGCUUCCCAGCUCCAAGAAUUCUGUAUGAUGUUUACCCUGCAGUGAUGAUAUAUUCCUUCUUCUGACAGCUUCCAACUCCCCUUUCUCACCUAGGAUUUCCACUCUCCCUGACAGAUUAAACCACUGGGCAACAAUAGUCCUUUUCAAAUGAUACUUUGAAAUUUAUACUUUCCUCCUGUCCUGGGGCUUAAACAAGUCCAUGAAUCCUGAAGAAUCCAAGUCCCUAGUUCUCAGACAGGCCUAAGGAGUUGCGUGCAGACUCAGAGUCUCCCAUGCUGAUUUACAUGCCUUUGACCUGCAAACUAGCAAUUACCACCUGCAGGAACAGUGAUCUCACCCUAACUAGCACCUCAGCUGAACAUAGCAUCAGCCUGGUUGUCUGUAACCUAUGAUCCCCAGAUAACUUGACCUCUGAGCAGCUUUACAUGGAUUCCUUGUGUGUUGCAGUAUACCAUUCAAAAAAUGGACCAGGUUAAAGCAAAGGGAAUGGGAAUGAGGUGCCAUUGUGGGAAACCUUUUCCCAAGAGACCCAAGCUACUCCCUCCUCCUUUCCUUGUAGCCACCUGAAAAGAGAAAGAGUUCGAGUGACCCAGUGCCUCCUGAUCCCUGCAUCCUGAUAAGCUUGGGCAGCUUCAUGUUCAAUGAGAUUGACUCCCAACGAGAUAUCACUCCCAUGCUUUAAAAUGUUGAGUGACUCCCUAGAAAAUCUAGGAUAAAAUACAAAGCCUUCAGCCAAUGAGGACAUUGGAAGAUCUUUCCAUGUUUUUAUUUUCUUAAAACCCACACCUUUCAUCUUAGAUUCAAUACUAAGGCAAAAGAGUGAAGGACUAGGCAAUAGAGAU